This 254-nucleotide ribosomal RNA is filed under the name uncultured bacterium. RNAcentral's name for it is "partial 16S ribosomal RNA". It matches the Rfam family "Bacterial small subunit ribosomal RNA", at positions 524 to 776 of the family's 1533-position model. The record is from RNAcentral.
UACGGAGGGUGCAAGCGUUGUCCGGAAUUAUUGGGCGUAAAGAGCUCGUAGGCGGUCUGUCGCGUCGGCUGUGAAAACUCGGGGCUCAACUCCGAGCCUGCAGUCGAUACGGGCAGACUAGAGUACUGCAGGGGAGACUGGAAUUCCUGGUGUAGCGGUGGAAUGCGCAGAUAUCAGGAGGAACACCGGUGGCGAAGGCGGGUCUCUGGGCAGUAACUGACGCUGGAGGAGCGAAAGCGUGGGGAGCGAACAGG